CAAAACGACUCUCGGCAACGGAUAUCUCGGCUCUCGCAUCGAUGAAGAACGUAGCGAAAUGCGAUACUUGGUGUGAAUUGCAGAAUCCCGUGAACCAUCGAGUCUUUGAACGCAAGUUGCGCCUGAAGCCCUCGGGCCGAAGGCACGUCUGCCUGGGCGUCAC
RNAcentral lists this ribosomal RNA (163 nucleotides) under Gisekia sp. Hartmann 31217. RNAcentral describes it as "5.8S ribosomal RNA". It matches the Rfam family "5.8S ribosomal RNA". From Rfam's summary of the family: 5.8S ribosomal RNA (5.8S rRNA) is a component of the large subunit of the eukaryotic ribosome. It is transcribed by RNA polymerase I as part of the 45S precursor that also contains 18S and 28S rRNA. Functionally, it is thought that 5.8S rRNA may be involved in ribosome translocation. The record is from RNAcentral. Lineage: Eukaryota; Viridiplantae; Streptophyta; Magnoliopsida; Caryophyllales; Gisekiaceae.